RNAcentral lists this small nucleolar RNA (97 nucleotides) under Hordeum vulgare. Its description in RNAcentral is "Small nucleolar RNA Z188". It matches the Rfam family "Small nucleolar RNA Z188". Rfam says of the family: Z188 is a member of the C/D class of snoRNA which contain the C (UGAUGA) and D (CUGA) box motifs. Most of the members of the box C/D family function in directing site-specific 2'-O-methylation of substrate RNAs. The record is from RNAcentral. Lineage: Eukaryota; Viridiplantae; Streptophyta; Magnoliopsida; Poales; Poaceae.
GCGUGCCGGUGAUGAUGCAAAAGCAUCGGUGAAUUCUGGAUGAACGCGCUUGCGCACCGCUCUGGUGAUAUCCACUGCGUGAUACUCUGAGGCACAC